AUUGAACGCUGGCGGCAUGCCUUACACAUGCAAGUCGAACGGUAACGGGCCUUCGGGUGCCGACGAGUGGCGAACGGGUGAGUAAUACAUCGGAACGUGCCCGAUCGUGGGGGAUAACGAGGCGAAAGCUUUGCUAAUACCGCAUACGAUCUACGGAUGAAAGCAGGGGACCGCAAGGCCUUGCGCGGACGGAGCGGCCGAUGGCAGAUUAGGUAGUUGGGGGGGUAAAAGCUUACCAAGCCGACGAUCUGUAGCUGGUCUGAGAGGAUGAUCAGCCACGCUGGGACUGAGACACGGCCCAGACUCCUACGGGAGGCAGCAGUGGGGAAUUUUGGACAAUGGGCGCAAGCCUGAUCCAGCCAUGCCGCGUGCAGGAUGAAGGCCUUCGGGUUGUAAACUGCUUUUGUACGGAACGAAAAGCCUUCUUCUAAUACAGGAGGGUCAUGACGGUACCGUAAGAAUAAGCACCGGCUAACUACGUGCCAGCAGCCGCCGCCG
RNAcentral lists this ribosomal RNA (498 nucleotides) under uncultured bacterium. Its description in RNAcentral is "partial 16S ribosomal RNA". It matches the Rfam family "Bacterial small subunit ribosomal RNA", at positions 30 to 523 of the family's 1533-position model. The record is from RNAcentral.